Molecule: ribosomal RNA, 492 nt
Filed under: uncultured bacterium
Lineage: Bacteria
Description: partial 16S ribosomal RNA
Rfam family: Bacterial small subunit ribosomal RNA
Source: RNAcentral
AGUGAACGCUGGCGGUAGGCCUAACACAUGCAAGUCGAACGGCAGCACAGUAAGAGCUUGCUCUUACGGGUGGCGAGUGGCGGACGGGUGAGGAAUACAUCGGAAUCUACUUUUUCGGGGGGGAUAACGUAGGGAAACUUACGCUAAUACCGCAUACGACCUACGGGUGAAAGCAGGGGAUCUUCGGACCUUGCCCGAUUGAAUGAGCCGAUGUCGGAUUAGCUAGUUGGCGGGGUAAAGGCCCACCAAGGCGACGAUCCGUAGCUGGUCUGAGAGGAUGAUCAGCCACACUGGAACUGAGACACGGUCCAGACUCCUACGGGAGGCAGCAGUGGGGAAUAUUGGACAAUGGGCGCAAGCCUGAUCCAGCCAUACCGCGUGGGUGAAGAAGGCCUUCGGGUUGUAAAGCCCUUUUGUUGGGAAAGAAAAGCAGCAGGUUAAUACCCCGCUGUUCUGACGGUACCCAAAGAAUAAGCACCGGCUAACUUCGUG